Oncorhynchus masou masou (cherry salmon) is the source of this 155-nucleotide long non-coding RNA. RefSeq lists it as uncharacterized. NCBI's taxonomy places the organism in Eukaryota, Metazoa, Chordata, Actinopteri, Salmoniformes, Salmonidae. The transcript has 3 exons. The record is from RefSeq and is a predicted model, not a curated record.
GAUCCUGCUCCAAUGAGAAUGCAUAUAAGGCCAUGUUCAUCUGGUACAGAAAUAAGGAGAGAGGCCACAACAACCCCUCUGAUGAAGACGUGAGCUCCUGUAUGAUCAACCAGAGUCCUGGCUGUCCAGGCGUCAGCAUCCUGUCAUUUAUGGGU